RNAcentral lists this transfer-messenger RNA (356 nucleotides) under Verrucomicrobiales. Its description in RNAcentral is "JAGROY01 sp020439995 Standard tmRNA". It matches the Rfam family "transfer-messenger RNA". From Rfam's summary of the family: Bacterial tmRNA, also known as 10Sa RNA or SsrA, is named for its dual tRNA and mRNA-like properties. Its role is to liberate the mRNA from a stalled ribosome. To accomplish this part of the tmRNA is used as a reading frame that ends in a translation stop signal. The record is from RNAcentral. RNAcentral also lists the same sequence under 1 other name. Lineage: Bacteria; Pseudomonadati; Verrucomicrobiota; Verrucomicrobiia.
GGGGGCGUUCUGGUUUCGACUGAUGAUUUGAAGCCGGGGUCGCAUGCCGAGGUUGAUCGGUUGGCCUCGUAAAAAGCCGGUCAAAAAACAAUAAUUGCAGAUUCUAACGAAUACGCACUCGCUGCUUAAUUGACAGUGACGUUCUCCGGCUGACGCCUACUAGGUUGGGGAGCGACUACCAGAAGGCUAGUCGCGAAGCGGGGUGUCCGCGUUUCGCCGCGAAACUAAACAGGGCAACCGGGAGAAGCAGGUUUGCCAGAUGUAGCUGCCCUCCUUAACGCAAACACUGGAUAUGCAUGUAGAAGCCUCAGUGAAGGAUUAUCAGGACAGGGGUUCAACUCCCCUCGCCUCCACCA